ACACAUGCAAGUCGAGCGGUAACAGGUGUAGCAAUACAUGCUGACGAGCGGCGAACGGGUGAGUAAUGCUUCGGAAUCUGCCCAAUGGUGGGGAAUAACCAGCCGAAAGGUUGGCUAAUACCGCAUACGCCCUACGGGGGAAAGCAGGGGAUCGUAAGACCUUGCGCCGAUGGAUGAGCCGAAGCCGGAUUAGCUAGUUGGUAGGGUAACGGCCUACCAAGGCGACGAUCCGUAGCUGGUCUGAGAGGACGACCAGCCACACUGGGACUGAGACACGGCCCAGACUCCUACGGGAGGCAGCAGUGGGGAAUAUUGGACAAUGGGGGAAACCCUGAUCCAGCGACGCCGCGUGUGUGAAGAAGGCCUGCGGGUUGUAAAGCACUUUUAGUGGGGAUGAAAAGCUCAGGGCUAAUACCUCUGGGUCUUGACCUAACCCACAGAAAAAGCACCGGCUAACUCUGUGCCAGCAGCCGCGGUAAUACAGAGGGUGCAAGCGUUAAUCGGAAUUACUGGGCGUAUAGCGUGCGUAUACGGUUACGUAAGUCGGGUGUGAAAGCCCC
RNAcentral lists this ribosomal RNA (560 nucleotides) under uncultured bacterium. RNAcentral describes it as "bacterial SSU rRNA". It matches the Rfam family "Bacterial small subunit ribosomal RNA", at positions 51 to 604 of the family's 1533-position model. The record is from RNAcentral.